Molecule: ribosomal RNA, 468 nt
Filed under: uncultured bacterium
Lineage: Bacteria
Description: partial 16S ribosomal RNA
Rfam family: Bacterial small subunit ribosomal RNA
Source: RNAcentral
GACGAACGCUGGCGGCGUGCUUAACACAUGCAAGUCGAACGGAAAGGCCCUGCUUUCGUGGGGUGCUCGAGUGGCGAACGGGUGAGUAACACGUGAGUAACCUGCCCUUGACUUUGGGAUAACUUCAGGAAACUGGGGCUAAUACCGGAUAGGAGCUCCUGCUGCAUGGUGGGGGUUGGAAAGUUUCGGCGGUUGGGGUUGGACUCGCGGCUUAUCAGCUUGUUGGUGGGGUAGUGGCUUACCAAGGCUUUGACGGGUAGCCGGCCUGAGAGGGUGACCGGCCACAUUGGGACUGAGAUACGGCCCAGACUCGUACGGGAGGCAACAGUGGGGAAUAUUGCACAGUGGGCGGAAGCCUGAUGCAGCGACGCCGCGUGCGGGAUGACGGCCUUCGGGUUGUGAACCGCUUUCGCCUGUGACGAAGCGUGAGUGACGGUAAUGGGUAAAGAAGCACCGGCUAACUACGUG